GCCCCCGUAGCUCAGUGGAUAGAGCGCCGGUUUCCGGUACCGAAGGUCGCAGGUUCGACUCCUGUCGGGGGCACGA
This 76-nucleotide transfer RNA is filed under the name Corynebacterium frankenforstense DSM 45800. Its description in RNAcentral is "tRNA-Arg". It matches the Rfam family "tRNA". Rfam says of the family: Transfer RNA (tRNA) molecules are approximately 80 nucleotides in length. Their secondary structure includes four short double-helical elements and three loops (D, anti-codon, and T loops). Lineage: Bacteria; Bacillati; Actinomycetota; Actinomycetes; Mycobacteriales; Corynebacteriaceae. The record is from RNAcentral.